Molecule: long non-coding RNA, 220 nt
Filed under: Chinchilla lanigera (long-tailed chinchilla)
Lineage: Eukaryota; Metazoa; Chordata; Mammalia; Rodentia; Chinchillidae
Description: lncRNA (ENSCLAG00000025801.1)
Source: RNAcentral
CAGGCAGUGCCCCUCUCCUGGCACUGUCAGUAAAGAUGGGGAGGAAAAUCAGAUGACCACGCUGAGGACGGGGAGUAAGCAUCAAUAUCCAUCUGAAGAAGACACCAGCGACUGUCAUCUCUGGUUCCCGGGCCCCAGGAGACACAGAGUCCCACAGCAAAGAUGUCAUCUCCAGGACACUUUCCCCUCAAGGGACAGAGUUUCCAGCUUGAGACAAUGA